Molecule: ribosomal RNA, 253 nt
Filed under: uncultured bacterium
Lineage: Bacteria
Description: partial 16S ribosomal RNA
Rfam family: Bacterial small subunit ribosomal RNA
Source: RNAcentral
GACGUAGGAUGCGAGCGUUGUCCGGAUUCAUUGGGCGUAAAGAGCGCGCAGGCGGUCGUACAAGUCGCGUGUGAAAGCCCCCGGCUCAACUGGGGAGGGUCGUGCGAUACGGUCGGGCUGGAGGCCAGUAGGGGGAUGCGGAAUUCCGGGUGUAGUGGUGGAAUGCGUAGAGAUCGGGAGGAACACCAGUGGCGAAGGCGACUAUCUGGGCUGCAACUGACGCUGAGGCGCGAAGGCUAGGGUAGCAAACAGG